RNAcentral lists this ribosomal RNA (464 nucleotides) under uncultured bacterium. Its description in RNAcentral is "partial 16S ribosomal RNA". It matches the Rfam family "Bacterial small subunit ribosomal RNA", at positions 338 to 795 of the family's 1533-position model. The record is from RNAcentral.
CCUACGGGUGGCAGCAGUAGGGAAUUUUCGUCAAUGGGCGCAAGCCUGAACGAGCACUGCCGCGUGAACGAGGAAGGUCUUCGGAUCGUAAAGUUCUGUUGAAGGGGAAAAAGAGCGGAGCGAGGAAAUGGUCUCCGAUUGAUAUUACCCUUCGAGGAAGUCACGGCUAACUACGUGCCAGCAGCCGCGGUAAUACGUAGGUGGCGAGCGUUGUCCGGAAUGGUUGGGCGAAAAGGGUGCGUAGGCGGCCUGCUACGUCUGGAGUGAAAGGUACCGGCUCAACCAGUACAGGCUCUGGAAACUGGCGGGCUAGAGAGCAGGAGAGGGCGGUGGAACUCCAUGUGUAGCGGUAAAAUGCGUAGAUAUAUGGAAGAACACCAGUGGCGAAGGCGGCCGCCUGGCCUGUUACUGACGCUGAGGCACGAAAGCGUGGGGAGCAAAUAGGAUUAGAUACCCGAGUAGUC